Molecule: long non-coding RNA, 1672 nt
Organism: Syngnathoides biaculeatus (alligator pipefish)
Lineage: Eukaryota; Metazoa; Chordata; Actinopteri; Syngnathiformes; Syngnathidae
Exons: 4
Source: RefSeq, a predicted model, not a curated record
GGCAAGGGUGUAUUCCUGCAUAUAUACUCUUAUCAUCAUCAUGGCUGUGUGAUUACAGGACCACUUUCAUCACAUGUGACUUUUAUCAAUGCGCCGCACCUUGGAGGAGGGAUAUGACCUGUUUUACUGGCGGGGGGGAAGUCACCCAGAGGGGAUAAAGUCUCAAUCCAUCUCGCCGAACAAGGUGGCGUUGAAGUGGAUGGCCUGCCGCGGGCAUUUCGGACCAUCGCAGUUGUCGGACUGUAGCAGGCAUGAGCGCCCGUCUGUCCCAAGUUUGUACUCCUGCACACACCUGAGGAGGCGAUGGAGACGGAGCGAUAUAGUAGUGCUUCAGGUGCAGGAAACUGGAGUGCCCAGAGAAAACCCAUGCAGGUACGGGGAGAACAUGCAGACUCCCCACAGCCGAGGCCAGGAUUGAACCCGGGUCCUCAGAACUGUGAGGCCAAAGUUUUUACAGCUGAUCCACCGUGCCGCCCCACCGAAUUAGGCCACCGUUGUCUUUGGAGCAGUCACGUACGGGCCCGAAAGAUGCCAGCAAGUCUUCUACAGUCUCAAAAUAUGUGGACAUCAUGGCUUCGUCCCUGGAUUUAAAAAUAAAUGAACAAAAAGGCAAAAAAAAAAAAUAAAAAUGAAGAUGCCUUCUGUUUUCUAAGUAUAAAUGACAAAUGGAAAGGAAUGCUUAAGCAGCUAAACAUAAUCCCUUGCUGGCUAUAAAGUAGUUUCUUGUAACCUUGAAAAUUCUGGUGCAAUUAAGAUGUGAGUCGUGCAGCCUUGUUUAAUGAAAAUGAAUGAUUUUUUUUUUUGGAGACACAAGAACAUCACUACAACCACCAGGAAAGUGAUAUACAGACUUCUGAUUGGAUGCAGAGUAAAUAUAUUAAAAUGGCAGCAUGUCUUUUUCCCUGAAGAGAUUUGACAGUUCAUGACAAGUAGCAGCAUAGAUCAUUACACUGAAUUAACAUUCCUCAAAUUUGAACAAAGUCUUCAAAGUUAAUGGAUAAGUAUACAAUAUAUAUAAGUGGGUCGAUCCAUUUUAUGGGUAAUGUGAACUAACUGCAGUUAGAUGCUUCAUGUUAUCUCCAAAUGUUGAUUUUCAUUUAAAUUAAAUUGCCUAAUUAACCAACGCAAUGAGAGAUUUUACGUCAAAAUCCCAAAACACAUGCUAACACUAGUUUGUUGCUAUGCCUGGAGUAUUAUACGUCACAGUCUCCACUUUGCAUAUUUUCUUGUUGCCUCCAGUGUUCUUCUAAAGAAAAAUAAGUUUCCUGAUGCUGGAAAAGUAAACAAGUGACCCUCAUUCUCCUUCAUUGUUGUUGUUUGAUAGCAUUUGUCACGCUGAAGGAUGAUUCAACAUCGCAUCUUUUUUCUUUUUUCACUUUAAUGGAGUACUAUUAUAAAGUGGGACAAUCAAGGCGAGUAGAAAUAAGCCAAACUGUGAAUUUGAAAUGGUUUUGUCCCAGACAACUCGAGGCUGAAGGGACUCAGAAUUUCACAUUUUUGUUUAACUCAACAGGAUGGAUCCCUACUCCUUAGUUGUGAUAGUUUUGACCAACCACAUCUAUUCGCAUUUGGAAUCCCUCUUAAAACAAAACAAAACAAAAAAAACAACACAAAAACAAGUUUGGAAUGGAAUACUAGAUCUUCUUUUAUCAAACAGCAUUUCUAACCACUG